GCAAGGAGGUAGACAUGCUCCUCAUUGAGCUGCUCGAUGCGUUCAAGUGCUGCAUCAAUCGACAAGGCAAUGAUCGACGUCCACCGGCCGUUUGCCAUGGAUGCGGCUGCGGAUAAACAAAUAUAUGGCGAUUGAGGCUGCCAGAGAAGAAGUAGAUGAGAAGAAAAGAGAGAACGCAAAAGGAGAGUAGGAUGAAAAAACUGACGACGAUGGCAUAGAUUCAAUUUUAUAAAAUUGAAGUGACACAUAGCCGAUAUUAUGAAUAGUAAUGGUAUUUUUCUAAUACCAUAAAUUUGUAGUGGCAUGGGUCAAAUUAACCCUUAGAAAUAUACCAUUUAAG
This 340-nucleotide long non-coding RNA is filed under the name Oryza brachyantha (malo sina). Its description in RNAcentral is "long non-coding RNA (OBRA_LNC002145)". Lineage: Eukaryota; Viridiplantae; Streptophyta; Magnoliopsida; Poales; Poaceae. The record is from RNAcentral.